This 490-nucleotide ribosomal RNA is filed under the name uncultured bacterium. Its description in RNAcentral is "partial 16S ribosomal RNA". It matches the Rfam family "Bacterial small subunit ribosomal RNA", at positions 30 to 507 of the family's 1533-position model. The record is from RNAcentral.
AUUGAACGCUGGCGGCAGGCCUAACACAUGCAAGUCGAACGGUAACAGGAAACAGCUUGCUGUUUCGCUGACGAGUGGCGGACGGGUGAGUAAUGUCUGGGAAACUGCCUGAUGGAGGGGGAUAACUACUGGAAACGGUCGCUAAUACCGCAUAACGUCGCAAGACCAAAGAGGGGGACCCUCGGGCCUCUUGCCAUCGGAUGUGCCCAGAUGGGAUUAGCUUGUUGGUGGGGUAACGGCUCACCAAGGCGACGAUCCCUAGCUGGUCUGAGAGGAUGACCAGCCACACUGGAACUGAGACACGGUCCAGACUCCUACGGGAGGCAGCAGUGGGGAAUAUUGCACAAUGGGCGCAAGCCUGAUGCAGCCAUGCCGCGUGUAUGAAGAAGGCCUUCGGGUUGUAAAGUACUUUCAGCGGGGAGGAAGGGAGUAAAGUUAAUACCUUUGCUCAUUGACGUUACCCGCAGAAGAAGCACCGGCUAACUCCGUG